CUGAAACCUCACGCAUUCACAGUGAGACACACGCAUUUCAACCAGUUCCCACGCUCACAAUUGUGCGGGUAUUCCACACUUGACCAAUUAUAUCAUUCUGUUCUAGAUUUUAAAAAAUAUCAGCGUGCUUUUUUUGGUUAUACAUGAUGUCAUUAUCUGAAGGCAGCGGCUAUUUACACUAAGUAAUAGCAGCAUUUGAUAUCUGUUGAGCAUCUGUCGCUGAAGAAUUUUCCAGACGCCAUAUUUUUUCUCACUUCACAGAGGAUGGAAAAAAAGAGCAAUGGGUGAAUCAUACGGCAGAGAACCGAGAGGAGCCACCAGGCUAGCUAGAUAGCUAAUUAUCUGGCAAGAUGAGACUACAAGCUACAACAUUGAUGCUGGUCUCACCAGUGAGUCUCCCAGAGAAGGAAUUGUGUGCAAAACUUUUGAACUAGGUUUAAUGUUAGUGUUGCUGUUGUCAAAGUCGGCUAUGCAAAUAGCCACGAGAGUCACGCACAGAUUCUAUCCUUUGUUAAAGUUUAAGUUAUUAUGUGCGCAGUGUGGCUGUAGCUGACAGUUUUGUGGACAAACUUCUCACAGAACUUUUCUCAGAGCAUCACCAUGCAUUUAAAGUACACAGAUGUGACUUGGGUG
Ictalurus punctatus (channel catfish) is the source of this 633-nucleotide long non-coding RNA. Lineage: Eukaryota; Metazoa; Chordata; Actinopteri; Siluriformes; Ictaluridae. The record is from Ensembl.